GGCGGGCUAUAAGUUCCCUUAAGGUGUUAGAGAAAACAAAAGUGCUGACUUAACUUGAAUUUUUGGGGGAGAAUUUGUGUGUUUCUUAAACCACCGUACUGUUUUAGGACUGAAUAAUGCAGGUUGUAAUUAAUCCUUUUUAGUAUUUAUUAGAGUAUGCAGAGUGAUAGAGUAUAAUUGAAGCAAAGAAGCAGCACGUUCCACAGUGCCUGGGGUACCAGGAACAUUCUAGAUGGAGGAAUGCACCAGCUGGUCCUGGGAGACAAGUGGAGGCCAAUCAGGAGAGGAUGGUGCGAAUGAGGGUGGUAAAGGAGAGUGAUCAAAAGGAGAAAAAGAAGGCAAAACCCCAGAAACAGAGGGAGGAAAAAUGUAAAAGGAAAGAAAGAUUGUUGCAUUGAUGGACUUUCGGGAGAUAUUUCAGGUUUUGUACUCUCAUAUGGAAAGUUUUGUUACAAUACAAAAUGUUGCAAUAAACAGGCAAAUACAUUCGUGCCAUUACUUCUGUAGAACAGAUUUAUGCAAGUGGGUGGAAGGGUCAAAGUUUCCUUUCCCCAAAGUUUGCAACAACUCACGCCCUCACCACCAAAAUGCUAGGGAAGAUCCUGAUUGUUUGACUUGGGUCAGACUGGCAUUGGGAAUCAUCACUGUGCCACAUGGCGCAUGGGAGAUUAACACAUCCACCAGAAUAUUCUGAAGAGAAGAAUUUGAUCUUUCUACUCUACUGAAUGAUUCACAUAGGUACAGGAAUUUUAGGAUUUUUGGAACAGCCUUUUCUACCUCCCUCAGGAUGAUUACAACAUGCUACAGAAGAGCCUGAGAACUAAGAUCCCAAGUCUGUUAAAAU
This 844-nucleotide long non-coding RNA is filed under the name Macaca mulatta (Rhesus monkey). Its description in RNAcentral is "lncRNA (ENSMMUG00000063325.1)". The record is from RNAcentral. Lineage: Eukaryota; Metazoa; Chordata; Mammalia; Primates; Cercopithecidae.